UCAGUCUUCUCGAGGUUAGACUUCUAGAUAUUCUGGUUGUGUUGUCCAUUCAGGUUUGGUUGGAACAUCACAGGUAGGUUCUUUUAUAGGGCUAUUCUAUGGGUGUGGCGUGAUAUGCCACUUUUUUUUGGAAGUGCCUAACAAUCAUCCAUCGUAGAUGCCAGAGUCAGCAGGGUCCACUAGGUCAAUAGGUUCAGGCCUCCAGGCCCCAAUUCUGCCACCCAAAGAGGGUGCACAGGGUGGCAGAGGUAAUUCUCAAGGUACUAAGGGUGGUCCCUAGGCAGGCUCGACAGGUGGCAGAGGUGGAUGCUGCCACAUUUAUGCUUUUUUGGGUAGGCCAUAGGCGGAGGCAUCAGAUAUCGUCAUCACAGGGAUUUAGUUGAUAUGCUCCUUUGGGCCUAUGUGAUAUCUGUGUUUACUCUGGUUAGUAGGUUGUCACUUUGUUGUCCUCCUUCAUAGCAUGUUGUCGUGUUUAGGAUCUUGGCUGGCGUCACUAGUCAAUCGAUGCCUACUGAGUACCACUUGUUGGUACUCAUACUACACUUCUGCACCCUGUAGAUCAUAAUACGGAUUUUCACUACUGAUUUGGAUAUUGUACGGAGCAACUCUUGGAUUUUGCAGACUUGGGUGAGCAGUUGGCAUUCAGAGUUUCCUAUCUCCCUCUAUUUCAGCUUGCAUUAACCUUUAUUUUGGACUCGGAGACAAUUAUGUUAAUAUUAUACUUAU
Molecule: long non-coding RNA, 726 nt
Organism: Solanum dulcamara
Lineage: Eukaryota; Viridiplantae; Streptophyta; Magnoliopsida; Solanales; Solanaceae
Exons: 3
Source: RefSeq, a predicted model, not a curated record